This 136-nucleotide small nuclear RNA is filed under the name Esox lucius (northern pike). RNAcentral describes it as "U4 spliceosomal RNA". It matches the Rfam family "U4 spliceosomal RNA". Rfam says of the family: U4 small nuclear RNA (U4 snRNA) is a component of the major U2-dependent spliceosome. The record is from Rfam by way of RNAcentral. Lineage: Eukaryota; Metazoa; Chordata; Actinopteri; Esociformes; Esocidae.
AUCCCUUCGCAGUGGCGAUAUCAUAGCCUAUGAGUCUAGCGCGGCGUGAUUAUUGCUGGUUGAAAACUUAACCCAAUACCCCGCGGGACGACUUGCAAUACAGUCGGCCCUGGCAAUUUUGAUAGUCUCGCAGAGA